This is a non-coding RNA of Myodes glareolus (Bank vole), 373 nucleotides long. Lineage: Eukaryota; Metazoa; Chordata; Mammalia; Rodentia; Cricetidae. The record is from RefSeq and is a predicted model, not a curated record.
UGACCAAAGGUCAGAGAAUUCAAGUCUAUUCCUGCACCUUCUUUUUAAAACAGGAGGUUUGACCCAAGGAAUGGUUGCCUACAGGAUAGUGGUGUAGGGUGUAUUUGCUGCAUAUUUUGCCCAAAACAUCAGAAUGCUUAACUCAGGAAAUAGUGACUUGAUGUCUCCAAGUAUUGACAUAUGAACGAAGCUGGAAUAAAUAGCCACAUGUGUAUGAUUUCUCAUAUUGCUACAGAGAUACUUCGAGGCUAAAUUACCAGAAGUGAGAUUGUUGGACAAAAGCGUGCAGGAGCCAUUGAGGAGGGUCAGAAGAUUCGCUAGAACUGGAGUUAUAGACGGUCUAUGAGUUGCCACAGGCCUUCUGAGAAACAAA